Molecule: ribosomal RNA, 505 nt
Filed under: uncultured bacterium
Lineage: Bacteria
Description: bacterial SSU rRNA
Rfam family: Bacterial small subunit ribosomal RNA
Source: RNAcentral
AGUGAACGCUGGCGGCAGGCCUAAUACAUGCAAGUCGAACGGCAGCACAGCAGAGCUUGCUCUGUGGGUGGCGAGUGGCGGACGGGUGAGGAAUACAUGGGAAUCUGCCCAGUCGUGGGGAUAACGUAGGGAAACUUACGCUAAUACCGCAUGCGCCCUUCGGGGGAAAGCCGGGGGACCUUCGGGCCUGGCGCGAUUGGAUGAGCCCAUGUCGGAUUAGCUAGUUGGCGGGGUAAUGGCCCACCAAGGCGACGAUCAGUAGCUGGUCUGAGAGGAUGAUCAGCCACACUGGAACUGAGACACGGUCCAGACUCCUACGGGAGGCAGCAGUAGGGAAUAUUGGACAAUGGGCGCAAGCCUGAUCCAGCCAUGCCGCGUGAGUGAAGAAGGCCCUCGGGUUGUAAAGCUCUUUGUCCGGAAAGAAAAGCGCCGGGUUAAUACCCUAGUGUCCUGACGGUACCGGAAGAAUAAGCACCGGCUAACUUCGUGCCAGCAGCCGCGGUAA